UUUUGAACAUCGUUGUCCAUACCAGGCC
Molecule: small RNA, 28 nt
Filed under: Bombyx mori (domestic silkworm)
Lineage: Eukaryota; Metazoa; Arthropoda; Insecta; Lepidoptera; Bombycidae
Description: ovarian small RNA-38462
Source: RNAcentral